RNAcentral lists this ribosomal RNA (253 nucleotides) under uncultured bacterium. Its description in RNAcentral is "partial 16S ribosomal RNA". It matches the Rfam family "Bacterial small subunit ribosomal RNA", at positions 524 to 776 of the family's 1533-position model. The record is from RNAcentral.
UACAGAGGUCUCAAGCGUUGUUCGGAUUCAUUGGGCGUAAAGGGUGCGUAGGUGGCGCUAUAAGUCAGGGGUGAAAUCCUGGAGCUCAACUCCAGAACUGCCUUUGAUACUGAAGAUCUUGAGUAUGGGAGAGGUGAGUGGAACUGCGAGUGUAGAGGUGAAAUUCGUAGAUAUUCGCAAGAACACCAGUGGCGAAGGCGGCUCACUGGCCCAUUACUGACGCUGAGGCACGAAAGCGUGGGGAGCAAACAGG